UGAUUUGAAGAGCUUGCUCAGAUAUGACGAUGGACAUUGCAAAGAGUGGCGAACGGGUGAGUAACACGUGGGAAACCUACCUCUUAGCAGGGGAUAACAUUUGGAAACAGAUGCUAAUACCGUAUAACAAUAGCAACCGCAUGGUUGCUACUUAAAAGAUGGUUCUGCUAUCACUAAGAGAUGGUCCCGCGGUGCAUUAGUUAGUUGGUGAGGUAAUGGCUCACCAAGACGAUGAUGCAUAGCCGAGUUGAGAGACUGAUCGGCCACAAUGGGACUGAGACACGGCCCAUACUCCUACGGGAGGCAGCAGUAGGGAAUCUUCCACAAUGGGCGAAAGCCUGAUGGAGCAACGCCGCGUGUGUGAUGAAGGGUUUCGGCUCGUAAAACACUGUUGUAAGAGAAGAAUGACAUUGAGAGUAACUGUUCAAUGUGUGACGGUAUCUUACCAGAAAGGAACGGCUAAAUACGUGCCAGCAGCCGCGGUAAUACGUAUGUUCCAAGCGUUAUCCGGAUUUAUUGGGCGUAAAGCGAGCGCAGACGGUUAUUUAAGUCUGAAGUGAAAGCCCUCAGCUCAACUGAGGAAUUGCUUUGGAAACUGGAUGACUUGAGUGCAGUAGAGGAAAGUGGAACUCCAUGUGUAGC
RNAcentral lists this ribosomal RNA (642 nucleotides) under Weissella cibaria. RNAcentral describes it as "bacterial SSU rRNA". It matches the Rfam family "Bacterial small subunit ribosomal RNA", at positions 70 to 679 of the family's 1533-position model. Lineage: Bacteria; Bacillati; Bacillota; Bacilli; Lactobacillales; Lactobacillaceae. The record is from RNAcentral.